UUAGGUUUAGCUUGUUUUUUAUGUGCAAUUUCAUCGAUAAUCAAUGUUAGUGUAAACUCGAUGAGUUUUUCUCUUUUGGAUGAGUUUUUAUUCUUCUUGUAGCUUGAUUUCAAUCCCUAGUUGAACGAGUUAGGGAUUUAGAAACAAGUCCUGAUUUUACAGCCAACUUUUAACAGAAAUAAGCCCAUUUCUUGUUCUUGCAUUUAGGCUUUCGUCUUCCUUAAUAUUUAUCAUUAUUUCUUAUUCUCUAGACGAUUCGGGAUGUUGAAUCAAUAUUGAGAUCUUAUUCUUCUUGUAGCUUGAUUUAAAUCCCGAGGAAAUUGUAAUCUUCUAUUUUUAUUAAGUUCUUGACAAUUUUGCAAUUUGUCAAUUAUUUUAAGUACUUGUGUCAUUUUGUGACUUGCUAUUGUUACGUUAUGUGACCUGCUACCAUGCUGGCUAUCCCUUGUAUGCUGCAUAGAUUGAUGGCUACCAUCACAAUAAGGAGGAAAAGCGUUACAAAAAAGAGAUAUGGGAAUUUAAUAAUCGAGAGUAUCUGGAGGAACAAGCUAUCAAGGAAGCAGCAAUAGCAGCUGAAAUGAAAAAAUUAGUUUGGCAAAAUCUAGAAAGGAAAUGAGGCAGAAACGAUCUCUAAAGGCAAAAAGUUUGGGUCCUUCUAGAUCUGCUGUAGAGGCAAUGAGCCGAGUGUUGAAAACAAAGGUAUUUAUUAGGAAAAAAGACAAAUUGAGACAAUUUGAUUAUGUUUAUUAAACUAAAUAAACAUUAUGAUGCCCACUCUUUUGUUUUGAUACAUUUUAUUUUUCAGUGAAGUGUCUUAAUAGUUUCUGAAACCUAUGAUCAUUAAUACUCAUUAUGAUCUCCUUAUAUGUAGUUUUACUAAUAGUAAUCUUUUUUAAUGUGUCUUAAUAGUUUCUGAAACCUAUGAUCAUUAUUUGAAUAGGUCUUUUUUAAUGUCUCCUAAUAGUUUCUGAAACCUAUGAUCAUUAUUUGAAUAGGUCUUGUUUGGCUAGUUCAAUUUUCAUGAGAUUUGGCUCAUGAAAUAUUCACUCAUAUUCCAUCUAUGACCCUAGUCUAAAUUAUGAAAUUCAAAGACGAUUAUAUGAACGAAUUUUCGAGUCAGGUAGUUAGGAUGGUUGUUUAUCAACCAAGUUCUUUUGAUCUGAAUAUUAUGAUUAGGAUUGGAUGCAAUGAUUUUGAUUAAGUUUAUCCUUUCUUGUUAAAAGGAUUGUUGUUCGUUAGGAUUUGCAUGGAUUGUGAUUUCAAAUAUUAUUGGUCUUUAUGUUUGCUAAUGAAUUCAUGAAGAAGUGAUUCAUUGUAUACACUGGGUCAAAAUGAAAUCUGAUGCACUUAUAUGUAAUCUAGGAAAUAUUUUUAUGCGAAAUUUGGUGCAUUUCACAUUAGAUCCAUGAAACAUACAUUUUACAUCAGACUAUUAUAGGAAAUAUUACAUCAGGCCAAAUACGAAACCGAUGUAAAAACAUAAAUUUUACAUCGGGCUAUCAUGGAAACCGAUGUAAACACUUACAUUUUACAUCGGGCUAUCAUGGAAACCGAUGUAAACACUUACAUUUUACAUCGGGCUAUUACAAACCCGAAGUUAAAUAUUGCAUAUAUAUUACUUUUAAAAAAAUAUUGGAUUUUGUUUCACAUAAGACGUAAUUAUAACCGAUGUGGUAUCAUGAUUUUUCACAUCGACUUGUUGCCCGAUGUAAAACGUCCUGGAUUUACUACAUCGCUUGGAUUUAUAUCGGACCCAAACCCGAUGUAAAAUGUACUUUUCGCCCGAUGUAAAAAGUGUUUUCUACACUAGUGAUAGGUGUUCUACACGUACAAUAGUAUUAUUAAAGAUUUUAUAGUCAGAGUCCUCUUUACAAUCUGUUUGGGAUGAACAAAAUAUGUGGCCAGCAACGAACGACUUGAUCUUCGGUGAUGGUUGAGAAAAAAAGGGUUGUACCUGCAAGAUACUCCGAUGCCAAAGUAAGAGAGAGAACAAAGGUACAACGUAGGUAUGAAGUUUUGCGCAAAGUUUGGAUUACCUUGCCCUCUAUUUAUAAUGUUCUCCUCGGUGUGGAUUGGGCCACACUAUAUUUAUGGGCUUGGGCGCAAUUCCAGGGCCCAAAAUAAUGGAGACCGUUGAAUAGGUCUUAGUUCAUUCGGGCAGGGGGGACUAUCCAUUGGCGAGAACGGUGAUCUAGUGUGCUUGGAUGAUUCUAAGUUAUUGGGGAGCCAACGUUAGUUAUGUUCGACGGAUAAUCAGAAGGGCAGAUUUGUCCUCAGCUUGCUCAAAGAAGUGGGCAAUGCUUACUGGGUCGCACAUGCUUAUGAGUGGAUUGGGCCAAUGGAUACAAUUGGGUUAGUCCAUAACACAAUAUUUGAGUGUGAGGUAUUUAAGAUAGUAAAUAUGACGUCUUCUCAACUUCGUCUCCAUAAGUGAACCUUCCUAAGGUCUUUUGAAAUUGCUUUCUAAGGCCUAGGCAUAUGAUCAAGACUUUAUAAGUUUAUCAGGAUACUAACUUCAAAUGCACAGCUAAUCAUUUAGUUUUGAAAGAUAUCGAACCCAUAAGGACUGAGGAUCAAUAUAGUACGAUCUUAUGUUAUAAAGUUAGCUAAAGCUAUCGGUUUCUUGGUUUUAGGGGGAAACAGGAGUUAAAUAUAAAUUUAAUUAAAUAAUCAGAUAUUAAGAUACCGGUAUGUAAUUGUCGAACUUUGGGGUUCAAUAAAUCAAUGGCAUAAUUUAAAGUAUAAAAACACUUUUCACAAUAAGUUAUUUGAAUUAAAAACUUUUACCUCACACUCUCAUGUUUAUUGACUUAGAUUACAGUGUCAGUUAUAAAGUUUUCUCUCGCUAAAUCAUUAAAAACUGAAGUAAUUUUUGAAAAUCAAAUAAAAUAUAAUUAACUUUAAAGCGCUCUCGUUAUAUUUAGAGUUAAUGUUUAGUGACUACUAUCUGGUAAAAACCUCAAACUCUCGUUGUGUUGAUUUUAGACCUUAGUUUGUAAUUUACUCUCGUAACAAAAUAAUUUGGUAUUAGUUUUAGAAAUCAAGACCAGGAAAACUUUUAAUUAGUUUUUAUGCCAAAUCGUUAUCGAACCCGUCGGUUCAGUGACCUUACAUACCAGUAUUAGAAAAUUAGCCAAACAUGCUUUUUAUUAUGAACAUCCAGAAUAGACAAUAUGGAAACAAUGAUAUCAACAUAGAAAUCAAAUUAUAAGACAAAUUAGGCAUAUAAAUAAGAACCUAGAAAUUAUAUGAAUAAAUUGAAAUAUCUUCAAGUACCAAGUGCUUCAAUAGUACAAACGAUGUUCUUCACGUACAAAUUUGAUUCCGAAAAUAGAAACUAAAUCUAAGGUGCAAUAAUUCCUCAAUGCAAGGAAUUAUCGCUAUGGAAAGUGACAUAAAAUGGCUAAGAACAAGGGUUGCAAAGAGAAAGGUAAUAACAGGAAAGUAUAAACUUGCAGAGAAAAUAAAUAAAAUCCAAUUGACGGCAGGAAGAGAGAGUCUUCAAUGAAUAACUGAAUCCCUUAUAUAAUGUGACUGCACGACCUCAAUCUCCCUAGAAUCUAAGGAGUCUCACUUGAAUCGUGUGAGAAUUCGUCAAACUGGGCUUCUCUUUAAUCGUUCGUGGGCUUCUUCUGGUUUAAGUAAUAUAAGGCAUGUGUCGUUCGUCAUGUGUGUGUGUCGUGGGGCACACUUUUCGUCUGUGUCGGUCGGGGUAGGGGGUUGUGUCAGGCGACACCAUGCCCUAUUUAGCAGAAUUAUGCAAACAUUUCUGCUAUUUAGCAAAAGUGUACAUCUUUGGUCAUUUUUCUUCCAUUUCUCCAUGCAAGCUUGGAUAAUUUGCAAACACCUGAAAACAUAGCAAAAAUAACAGAGUGAAACAAUAUAAUCAUUUAAAACGGUAAAUAAAUCCAUGUAAACCAAGUCCAAUACGCGAAACAUUUUCGUGUUAUCAGCAUAGAAAUUAUUGUAGAUGUUUUUAUUUUAUUUUAAUUGUACAACAGAGACCAUUUUCACUCAUAUCAAUCCUCCAACAAUUAUUU
This is a long non-coding RNA of Vicia villosa (hairy vetch), 4040 nucleotides long. RefSeq lists it as uncharacterized. The transcript is spliced from 3 exons. The record is from RefSeq and is a predicted model, not a curated record. Lineage: Eukaryota; Viridiplantae; Streptophyta; Magnoliopsida; Fabales; Fabaceae.